Lonchura striata (white-rumped munia) is the source of this 388-nucleotide non-coding RNA. The record is from RefSeq and is a predicted model, not a curated record. Lineage: Eukaryota; Metazoa; Chordata; Aves; Passeriformes; Estrildidae.
CUCUGGUUUGUUUUAUUUAAACAGUUAUUUGAAUGUAAUUGCCCUGAAACCAUAUGCAGCGUUAAAACGAUUCCAGAUAACAUCCUUUCUCCUGAUUCCAAGAUGAGAAAAAAAACUCCUGCAGCCCCCUCCGAGGUCUGUGCAUCAGCCAGUAGAGGGUGCAGGAAUUGUGGCUGCAUUCCCCACACGCCUGAGCCGGCUGCUGCUGCUGCUCCAGCUUCUUUCUAAGCUGUUCUCAGUGUUUACAGUGAUGCUGGACUCGUGCUGCACACGUGAAAUUCAGACUGCAAGCUCACAUUGCAAACCUUAGAGAUGUCUGGGUGAUAUUUUUCUCAUCACAGGAUUAAAAAAAAGGGUCAUCUCCUAUCAAUAAAAAGUUUAAUUUCUA